Molecule: long non-coding RNA, 1023 nt
Filed under: Anser brachyrhynchus (Pink-footed goose)
Lineage: Eukaryota; Metazoa; Chordata; Aves; Anseriformes; Anatidae
Description: lncRNA (ENSABRG00000021852.1)
Source: RNAcentral
GGCAAAACCAGACAAUUUCUGUUAAGCUGUCAGAACAACACCGACAGGUAAAGUGGGUGUAGAAGCUAACUCUAAGAAAUAUAGGAACAUUCCCAUAAACAGAUGGAUCUUUCUAUAUAGGUCAAACUUUUGUUUUCUGCCAGCCUUCUUUCUCACUCCUAGGAUGAUGCCAGCUGCACGACACAGUACUGCUGCUCUCUCACUCUUGAAAGAAAGCUUUUUCCAGGUGCCAAAUCCAAUCAGAACAAUGUAGGUAGCUCAGCUGAUGACAGGGAACCAGAUCCAAUGUGCUGUUAGGAGCAAAAUGCACCGGCAGCUUCAAGAAUCCGCACCCUCAGGAGACAGGACACCUGGCCUGCCCACACCACCAGCUUUCCUAAAACAUCCUUCCCAGCUCCAGCAAACUUCAGUACCCCCAGGAGGGACUGAAAAAGACAACACUCUCCUGAGCCAUAAAUAUCCCUGGUUAGUUCUUCCUGAGACCAAACUCCUGGUGCAUUUAACGAGCACUUGGCGCAAAACAAGAAUGACACCAGGGCCAGGAGACCUCUGAGCAAGACUUCAGCCCAGGUUAGCGUUUUUUUUUUCUUUUUACUAUUAAGAAUGACUAAUCUCCAGUGCCUCCAACGGAGACGAGAGUGUCCUAGCCAAGAGUUUUAAUACUUCCCGAAGGCUUUUUGCAGUUGAUCCAGGCUGGCUAAUAAGCAUAUAGCUCGUGCACAAGCUUUUAAACAUCUGCUCUAAGUGCACCAUAUUAGCCCUUUGACUUUGGCCGUGCAUGUGCUAUUUUUGGCUUGUGCUAGUGACUGACAUGUUGUCCUGCUGACUGUGUUAUUUCACAUCCUGGAAACACCAUGGGCUGAGAGCUACAGGGCUCUCGGUUUGGGAAAAACACACGUUUUUUAAACCUCCAGAGCCUGAGCGCAUCCUAGCGAGGCUCACCUAGCAGUGACAAAGACGGGAGAGAAAUGAGAUGGGUAUGGCAAAGCAUUAAUACGUAAUAAAUAAAAGAGCAGCGUAGCA